UGGAGAUCCUUGAACAGAGUUUGCCAGGUAGGUCGAUGCUAUUGGAGGCAAUUUUUAACAAUGGUAAUUCAAGUGUCAUAUCUGUUGAUUUUAUGAGUCUGGUAAAAGAGAUGCUGGUAUCAGGGAUCAGCCGCAUAUCAGAGGUCAUUUCUAUAGUGGUUAUCUGGUAAAGUGGUAAUUGACAUUCAGAUGUAGUUUUCUUUGUUGAGAGCUAUUAAUCCUUCUUCUCGUGAAAGAUGUGCGGAUGGAGGACUCAGUUCUUUAGUGAUGGAACAUCUUUUUUGUUGGAGAAGAAGUUACAAACCUAUUUCAGUGAGUUGGAGGUCAUUUUUAAGUUUCAUCUCAGGAGUUAACAUGCUAUAAUUGUAUGGCUUGCUUGAUGGCUUAU
RNAcentral lists this unclassified non-coding RNA (388 nucleotides) under Hevea brasiliensis (rubber tree). Lineage: Eukaryota; Viridiplantae; Streptophyta; Magnoliopsida; Malpighiales; Euphorbiaceae. The record is from RNAcentral.